GAAAUGCGAUACGUAAUGUGAAUUGCAGGAUUCAGUGAAUCAUCAAAACCUUGAACGCAAAUGGUGCUGUAGCGGUUUACCGCGACAGCAUGCCUGUUUGAGUGUCAGUUAACCCUUAUCAAAAGAAAAACCUCAUUCUUUCUUCGCGGAGAGAUGGUGUGUUUUUACUUUUGGAGAGUGACGGUCUGCAAGGCGGGGGCGCGUCGUCAAAAAGCGCGACCCAACGUUGCAUCCGUUGAAACUGAGUGGCAGAAACUGUUGUCCCACCCAGGUGCUAUGGGUCCUCGCGACCCACGGACACACUGGGGGCGUCCACACAAACACAACAUGGUGUAGUAGGUGUUCUUAAUACACAAAUCUUCGCCAGGUUGGUGGGCGGCCAAACUUUGCUUUUGGGCAAAUGCAGUUGCCGGUUUACAGGAAAGUGGGGGAAAACAGGAAGGAAAGGGAAGGAGGUACACACCUCCCUCUCUCUCCCGCCUCACCCCCCCGCACCUCUUAACCAAUGACCUCAAAUCAGACAAGACUACCCGCUGAAUUUAAGC
Molecule: unclassified non-coding RNA, 545 nt
Filed under: plant metagenome
Description: partial contains internal transcribed spacer 2 and large subunit ribosomal RNA
Rfam family: 5.8S ribosomal RNA (bases 1-107)
Source: RNAcentral